UCCGUAGGGUGCGAUCGAUAAUCGGAAUUACUGGGCGUAAAGCGUGCGCAGGCGGUCUCGUAAGACAGGUGUGAAAUCCCCGGGCUCAACCUGGGAACUGCGCUUGUGACUGCGAGGCUAGAGUGCGGAAGAGGGAGGUGGAAUUCCACGUGUAGCAGUGAAAUGCGUAGAGAUGUGGAGGAACACCGAUGGCGAAGGCAGCCUCCUGGGCCAGCACUGACGCUCAUGCACGAAAGCGUGGGGAGAAAACAGG
This 253-nucleotide ribosomal RNA is filed under the name uncultured bacterium. Its description in RNAcentral is "partial 16S ribosomal RNA". It matches the Rfam family "Bacterial small subunit ribosomal RNA", at positions 524 to 776 of the family's 1533-position model. The record is from RNAcentral.